Long non-coding RNA from Neopsephotus bourkii (Bourke's parrot), 373 nucleotides. RefSeq lists it as uncharacterized. The record is from RefSeq and is a predicted model, not a curated record. The transcript is spliced from 3 exons. NCBI's taxonomy places the organism in Eukaryota, Metazoa, Chordata, Aves, Psittaciformes, Psittacidae.
CUGCAAUUUGUUUUCCAGAUCAGGGAGUAGCUGCCAGCAGGAGCUGCUCACAUGGAAAGACAGUAGUUGUUUACCUGCACUGCAGAGCCAGACCAGGGAGGACAGAACCUGAUCCUGCCCAGCUGUGACAACUGUUUAUCAGCUGCCAAGAGAGAUCCUGUGAAUCUCACUGCAAAAGACAGAUAUUCCUCUUCAGAUAUAAGAUGAUUUCACACUUACUGUAAACUUUGGGGUUUCCCUAACUAUCAACAUGAUGGCCGGAAAGAGAGGAAGGAUUCCUAUUGGCAGUCUCGUUGGUGAAAGCUGUAACAUAAGAAUCUGGAUCACACCCAGUAAGAGAACUAAAACCAGCACUAUGUCAAGACAGCAUAAC